RNAcentral lists this ribosomal RNA (253 nucleotides) under uncultured bacterium. RNAcentral describes it as "partial 16S ribosomal RNA". It matches the Rfam family "Bacterial small subunit ribosomal RNA", at positions 524 to 776 of the family's 1533-position model. The record is from RNAcentral.
UACAGAGGGUGCGAGCGUUAAUCGGAAUUACUGGGCGUAAAGCGUGCGUAGACGGUUAUGUAAGUCGGGUGUGAAAGCCCCGGGCUCAACCUGGGAAUUGCAUUCGAGACUGCAUAGCUAGGAUGCGGAAGAGGGAAGUGGAAUUUCCGGUGUAGCGGUGAAAUGCGUAGAUAUCGGGAGGAACACCUGUGGCGAAAGCGGCGCACUGGACCAUAACUGACGCUGAGGCGCGAAAGCUAGGGGAGCAAACAGG